Molecule: ribosomal RNA, 492 nt
Filed under: uncultured bacterium
Lineage: Bacteria
Description: partial 16S ribosomal RNA
Rfam family: Bacterial small subunit ribosomal RNA
Source: RNAcentral
AGUGAACGCUGGCGGUAGGCCUAACACAUGCAAGUCGAACGGCAGCACAGUAAGAGCUUGCUCUUACGGGUGGCGAGUGGCGGACGGGUGAGGAAUACAUCGGAAUCUACUUUUUCGUGGGGGAUAACGUAGGGAAACUUACGCUAAUACCGCAUACGACCUACGGGUGAAAGCAGGGGAUCUUCGGACCUUGCGCGAUUGAAUGAGCCGAUGUCGGAUUAGCUAGUUGGCGGGGUAAAGGCCCACCAAGGCGACGAUCCGUAGCUGGUCUGAGAGGAUGAUCAGCCACACUGGAACUGAGACACGGUCCAGACUCCUACGGGAGGCAGCAGUGGGGAAUAUUGGGCAAUGGGCGCAAGCCUGAUCCAGCCAUACCGCGUGGGUGAAGAAGGGCUUCGGGUUGUAAAACCCUUUUGUUGGGGAAGAAAAGCAGCAGGUUAAUACCCCGCUGUUCUGACGGUACCCAAAGAAUAAGCACCGGCUAACUUCGUG